This 341-nucleotide ribosomal RNA is filed under the name Kocuria sp. BA-3a. RNAcentral describes it as "bacterial SSU rRNA". It matches the Rfam family "Bacterial small subunit ribosomal RNA", at positions 60 to 399 of the family's 1533-position model. Lineage: Bacteria; Bacillati; Actinomycetota; Actinomycetes; Micrococcales; Micrococcaceae. The record is from RNAcentral.
AGUCGAACGAUGAUGCCCAGCUUGCUGGGCGGAUUAGUGGCGAACGGGUGAGUAAUACGUGAGUAACCUGCCCUUGACUCUGGGAUAAGCCUGGGAAACUGGGUCUAAUACUGGAUACUACCUCUUACCGCAUGGUGGGUGGUGGAAAGGGUUUUACUGGUUUUGGAUGGGCUCACGGCCUAUCAGCUUGUUGGUGGGGUAAUGGCUCACCAAGGCGACGACGGGUAGCCGGCCUGAGAGGGUGACCGGCCACACUGGGACUGAGACACGGCCCAGACUCCUACGGGAGGCAGCAGUGGGGAAUAUUGCACAAUGGGCGGAAGCCUGAUGCAGCGACGCCG